This 558-nucleotide unclassified non-coding RNA is filed under the name Hevea brasiliensis (rubber tree). Lineage: Eukaryota; Viridiplantae; Streptophyta; Magnoliopsida; Malpighiales; Euphorbiaceae. The record is from RNAcentral.
AUGGGCUCCUUCUUUUCCUCUUUGACCGCCGACGCCGGCGGCGAGUCCGCCGUCAUCGAUCUCCACACCAAGGAGGAAUUCGACUCACACUUCGACGCCCACACCGCCUCCAACAAGCUUAUGGUGAUCGAUUUCUCGGCGAAGUGGUGCGGGCCGUGCCGAUUCAUCGGGCCGGUAUUCGAUUCCUACUCGAUCAAAUAUCCGGAUGUCGAUUUUGUAAAGAUUGAUGUUGAUGAGCUCUCGGAGGUGUCGGGGAAGUGGAAGGUACAGGCGAUGCCGACGUUUGUGCUGGUGAAGAAAGGGAAGGAGAUCACAAGGAUUGUGGGGGCGAAGAGGGAAGAACUGGAGCGGAAGAUCGUGCAGUUUAAGGCUUGAUUUCCAUUUCAUGCAGGCUCCAUGGUAUGUUUGCUUAUGCUUUAAAGAUAAUUAAUCAAGUCACAUAAAGAAAAUCCAUUAAAAAAAGAGAAUCCAGCGCUCAAGGCCCCUGUCAUUGGGGAGGGUCAGAUAUUCGCGAUAUUACCACUGUAUGCAGGAGCUUGAUUGAUGAUUUGAAUUGUG